GACGAACGCUGGCGGCGUGCUUAACACAUGCAAGUCGAACGGAAAGGCCCUGCGUUUGUGGGGUGCUCGAUUGGCGAACGGGUGAGUAACACGUGAGUAACCGGCCCUUGACUUUGGGAUAACUUCAGGAAACUGGGGCUAAUACCGGAUAGGAGCUCCUGCUGCAGGGUGGGGGUGGGAAAGUUUCGGCGGUUGGGGAUGGACUCGCGGCUUAUCAGCUUGUUGGUGGGGUAGCGGCUUACCAAGGCUUUGACGGGUAGCCGGACUGAGAGGGUGACCGGGUCCAUUGGGCUGGGGAUACGGCCAAGACUCAUAAGGGAGGAAGGAGUGGGGACUAUAGCCAAACGGGCCGCAGGCUGAUGGAGCAACGCCGGGUGCGGGAUGACGGCUUUUGGGUUGGAAAACGAUUUGGUUUGUGCCGCGGCGUUCGGGAGGGUAAUGGAGAAGAAGCACCGGCUAACUACGUG
This 467-nucleotide ribosomal RNA is filed under the name uncultured bacterium. RNAcentral's name for it is "partial 16S ribosomal RNA". It matches the Rfam family "Bacterial small subunit ribosomal RNA", at positions 28 to 507 of the family's 1533-position model. The record is from RNAcentral.